ACGUAGGGUGCGGGCGUUGUCCGGAAUUACUGGGCGUAAAGAGCUCGUAGGUGGUUUGUCGCGUUGUUCGUGAAAACCUGAGGCUUAACCUUGGGCGUGCGGGCGAUACGGGCAGACUGGAGUACUGCAGGGGAGACUGGAAUUCCUGGUGUAGCGGUGGAAUGCGCAGAUAUCAGGAGGAACACCGGUGGCGAAGGCGGAUCUCUGGGCCGAUACUGACGCUGAGGAGCGAAAGCGUGGGGAGCGAACAGGA
RNAcentral lists this ribosomal RNA (253 nucleotides) under uncultured prokaryote. RNAcentral describes it as "partial 16S ribosomal RNA". It matches the Rfam family "Bacterial small subunit ribosomal RNA", at positions 525 to 777 of the family's 1533-position model. The record is from RNAcentral.